CCCGGGAUAGCCCAGGGAAACCUGGAUUAAUACCGGAUGAGACGGGACCCGCGAUGGCGGGACCCGGGAAAGGCGCUGCGGCGCCGCCGGGGGGACUGAGUCUGCGUCCCAUUAGCUAGACGGCGGGGUAACGGCCCACCGUGGCGACGAUGGGUAGCCGGCCUGAGAGGGUGGACGGCCACAUUGGAACUGAGACACGGUCCAGACCUCCUACGGGAGGCAGCAGCUAAGAAUCUUCCGCAAUGGGCGAAAGCCUGACGGAGCGAACCGCCGCGUGAACGAAGAAGGCCGUGAGGUUGUAAAGUUCUUUUCGGGAGGGGGGAACAACCGUAGGCAGGGAAUGGCCGCGGGAUGACGUGAAUCCCGGAAUAAAGCCCCGGCUAACUACGUGCCAGCCGCCGC
RNAcentral lists this ribosomal RNA (402 nucleotides) under uncultured bacterium. RNAcentral describes it as "bacterial SSU rRNA". It matches the Rfam family "Bacterial small subunit ribosomal RNA", at positions 137 to 518 of the family's 1533-position model. The record is from RNAcentral.